RNAcentral lists this transfer RNA (67 nucleotides) under uncultured Winogradskyella sp. It matches the Rfam family "tRNA". Rfam says of the family: Transfer RNA (tRNA) molecules are approximately 80 nucleotides in length. Their secondary structure includes four short double-helical elements and three loops (D, anti-codon, and T loops). Lineage: Bacteria; Pseudomonadati; Bacteroidota; Flavobacteriia; Flavobacteriales; Flavobacteriaceae. The record is from RNAcentral.
AAGGUGGCUGAAUGGUUUAAAGCAUUGGUCUGCAACACCAACAUUUAUGAGUUCGAAUCUCAUCCUU